GGCUGGGAAGGCUGGGAGAGGAUGAACGGACAUGCAAAUGAGAUGCUGAAGAAGCCGGCCAGGAUCCCCCGGAAAGGGGGCCCGAGGGAGGGGCUGGCUGUCUCCUCGCCCCGCCCCCAUCUCUGGGCUGAGUCACCAGCCACCAAGGGAACUUCCUUUGCUGGACAGGGCAGCCAGCUCCUUGGGCCUCCCCUCCCCGGCCGAGGAGGUGCCCCUCCUUGGAGUCUGGCCCUCUACACUACACGUGACCCUGAUGUCGUAGUCCUGCGGGCCUGCGUGGCCGGGGCCGAGCUCGGGGGCCAGUGUCUUCCUACCCCACCGCCCCCCGCCUCCUCCCUCAGCAUCCGCAGACCUGGAGCAGGUGGCCCGGCUUUGACAAGACCCCAGCCCGCCUUCACCCCCCUCCCCGCUGCUGCCUGCUUCCCUCUGCCCUUGUGUUUCCAACGGAAAUGCCUUCCUGUAGUUCAGAUCGCGGUGGGGCCCGGACGGUGCCGAGGAGAGCUUCUCUCCAGCACGUCUGGGGCUCACAGCUCCUGAACCGGAGGCAGCCAGGGGGCCCGGGCCCCGUGUGUCUGUGGAGCGCAUGGCUCCCCGGCCAUCCUCGCUGUGCCCUCACACCUCUGGAGCCCGCUCUGUGCCCCACCGGGCCAGCCGCACAAAUGGCCCUGUCUUAAAACGUGGACGCCUUCCUUUGCCCGCGGAAUGUUCCGCUGUGUGGUUUGUACAGUCCGCUGAUGGGCACUUUGGGUUUUUUUCUGGCCAGCCCAGGACCACCAGUGGGCAGGAUGCCUCUCCAGAAGCGGGGCCGCUGGGUCAGACGUCGUAUUGGUAGCUCUGACAGACGGGGCCGAGCCUGGGUCCUCACGGCCCGCAGCCGUGCGUAACAAAGCCGUGGCCGGUCACACAGGCGAACCGGCGGUCGUCGCGAUCAUCGAGGCUCUGGGAGCGUGUCUGUCACCGACAGCUUUGUGGUUUUGCUGUUUACCUUGGAACCUGGCCCGUUUGGAAUUUAUUUUGUGAGACUACAGACCCAGCUUCGUUCUUUCCAGAUGGCUGUCUGCCUCCCCGGGUGUCGGAUGUUGCUGCGUUUUGUCCAGCGCCUUUCGGACAUCCAGUGGGGGUGCGUGUGCGAGCUGCUCGGAGGGGAGAGCCGACGGUCCGGAGGCCAGGAGGCACGCGGGCUGUGCGAGCAGGUGAUUUGAGGAGGUUUCCCAAAAGUGCUCUUCUCGGAGGUGUGGGCAGGGAUUAGGGACACGGCGAGGGAGAGUGCAGCCCGGGGCCAAGCGAGCCCAGGCCCGAGGGCAGAGCUAGCAGAGCGUGGGAACCGUCUCUGGGCUCUGGGUGGAGGGCGGAGCCGCCCACAGGACGGGGAGGCACAGCGCCAAGACCGGGACUCAUCUGGGUUUUGAGAACUUGAUUGGUUGACGUGGGUCCCAGAGCUCCGGCUGGCGUGGCUCUGGAACGGUCUGCGGGUGCCGGAACCACAAGGAGCUCACGGGGUGGGGGGAGGUCGCAGGAAGCCUGGGCUCUCAGAGAAGAGCCCGUGCGUUCCAGGGGUGUGACCGAGCCCCCCCGGCAGGAAGGGAGAGACGCAGACACCGAGGAGAAGCCACUUGGAGACGGAGACGGGGCAGAGGCUGGAGCGAGGCGGCCCCAG
Long non-coding RNA from Neofelis nebulosa (Clouded leopard), 1657 nucleotides. RefSeq lists it as uncharacterized. The record is from RefSeq and is a predicted model, not a curated record. NCBI's taxonomy places the organism in Eukaryota, Metazoa, Chordata, Mammalia, Carnivora, Felidae. The transcript has 4 exons.